CAAUGGCGUAUAUUAAAGUUGUUGCGGUUAAAAAGUUCGUAGUUGGAUUUCUGCCAAGGACGACCGGUCCGCCCUCUGGGUGAGUAUCUGGCUUGGCCUGGGCAUCUUCUUGGAGAACGUUGCUGCACUUCACUGUGUGGCGCGGUACCCAGGACCUUUACUUUGAGGAAAUUAGAGUGUUUCAAGCAGGCUUUCGCCUUGAAUACAUUAGCAUGGAAUAAUAAGAUAGGACCUCGGUUCUAUUUUGUUGGUUUCUAGAGCUGGGGUAAUGAUUAAUAGGGAUAGUUGGGGGCAUUCGUAUUUAACUGUCAGAGGUGAAAUCCUUGGAUUUGUUAAAGACGGACUACUGCGAAAGCAUUUGCCAAGGAUGUUUUCAUUGA
This 380-nucleotide ribosomal RNA is filed under the name uncultured eukaryote. RNAcentral describes it as "partial 18S ribosomal RNA". It matches the Rfam family "Eukaryotic small subunit ribosomal RNA", at positions 592 to 976 of the family's 1831-position model. The record is from RNAcentral.